GCGCCACUACUCUUACGGGAGGCAGCAGUGGGGAAUAUUGCACAAUGGGCGCAAGCCUGAUGCAGCGACGCCGCGUGAGGGAUGACGGCCUUCGGGUUGUAAACCUCUUUCAGUAGGGAAGAAGCGAAAGUGACGGUACCUGCAGAAGAAGCGCCGGCUAACUACGUGCCAGCAGCCGCGGUAAUACGUAGGGCGCAAGCGUUAUCCGGAAUUAUUGGGCGUAAAGAGCUCGUAGGCGGUUUGUCGCGUCUGCCGUGAAAGUCCGGGGCUCAACUCCGGAUCUGCGGUGGGUACGGGCAGACUAGAGUGAUGUAGGGGAGACUGGAAUUCCUGGUGUAGCGGUGAAAUGCGCAGAUAUCAGGAGGAACACCGAUGGCGAAGGCAGGUCUCUGGGCAUUAACUGACGCUGAGGAGCGAAAGCAUGGGGAGCGAACAGGAUUAGAUACCCUGGUAGUCCAUGCCGUAAACGUUGGGCACUAGGUGUGGGGGACAUUCCACGUUUUCCGCGCCGUAGCUAACGCAUUAAGUGCCCCGCCUGGGGAGUACGGCCGCAAGGCUAAAACUCAAAGGAAUUGACGGGGGCCCGCACAAGCGGCGGAGCAUGCGGAUUAAUUCGAUGCAACGCGAAGAACCUUACCAAGGCUUGACAUGAACCGGUAAUACCUGGAGACCAGUGCCCC
RNAcentral lists this ribosomal RNA (680 nucleotides) under Arthrobacter sp. RNAcentral's name for it is "bacterial SSU rRNA". It matches the Rfam family "Bacterial small subunit ribosomal RNA", at positions 327 to 1016 of the family's 1533-position model. Lineage: Bacteria; Bacillati; Actinomycetota; Actinomycetes; Micrococcales; Micrococcaceae. The record is from RNAcentral.